UUGGCUGGUUUGAUGAUUCUGUGUCUUCUAUGAAAGAAGAAGGAAAAAAUCCUCCUUCUGAAGCAAAACCCACCAUGAAUAACACUAAAAUACUCAUUUGCAGAAUCGGAACUCACACAUCUUUUGGCUGGACUCGGCUUCUCUGACGCCUGCGUUGCCCAAGACUGGACCACGUGGGUGACAGCUUCACAGACAGUGUGUCUGUGGGUCAACAUACAGAGCGGGCUGACUUCUAAACUCAGGUGGUUGCCAAGGAGUCAGGUCCCAAGGCGGGCCAAAGCUGGACCUGGGAAAGGCUACGAGGUCUGACCAGUGAGAUUGGAGCUCCAACCUUGUCAUCGCCUGAGCAAAGGCAGAUAGGAAAAUGCCAGGAAAGCAAGUCAGACCCCAGGCACACACCCCACAUUGUGUUCUCUGGUAAGCUGCCCCAUCUCCUUGUGAUAGCCACAGCCUCCAGAUACGAUGGGAACGCAUUCUGUGGUCACCGGGCACCCUGGUUUCCAUAGCUGCACCUUCACUAGCAGGAGGACUCCAUACAAAGGGGGUCCCCACAGUCACAAAGACAAGUGAAAGGAAACCCAUGCAUUUCUUAUUGGAAGCACAAGUUGGGACUUCCUCUUCUUGCUCUUCUCUCCAUGUGCAAGGUGUUGCCCACAGGAAUGCUCCAGCGGACACAUGCCCUGAGAAAAGCCCACCUUCUAUCGAGGCCCUCGGAAAUCUGGGAUUCCUCCUCAUUCAUUCAUUGAUUCAGUAAAUAACGGAACCUCUUCCAUGCACCAGGCUCUGCUCAGCGCAAUGAGGCGCGGCACGGAAUGAGACAGAGUAAGUCCCUGCCCUCGUGAAACUUAGGUUCCACCCGCAGAGUGGCGUGUAUCUCGAUGCCGGGGAGGGGCCGUGCUCUGAACAGAGUGUUUUCCUCAGCUGGGCGCUGUGAGCAAGGCAGACACGUGGGCCCUCACAGGCCUGUCCGUACAUAUGACAUCACCGUCAUGACAGCCAAGGACAAGGGAACCCGCCAGCGGUGUUCCCAGAUGGCUUUAGUGAGCUGGGUGCAGAGUGCUAACCAUCAAAAUGGUUCAACUUCCCCGUGUGCCUGAUGUAGAAAUGCUGUGUGCUCUAAUCAGCUCCGUGCUUUCACUAUGGGACCAGUGAAGCCGAGGAAUCGGGAUUGAAAUGGCGAGAUCUGGUAUUAUGUUUAUUAUAAUGUCUCCAGGGAUGGCAGAUCAAUUUCAACUCACUGACUUCCAGCAAUUGACUGAAUCCCAGACAGCCUGUGUCAAGAAGAAAUGUGAUGCUAACUGCAGAUUUUGUGCAAGAGAGUUAGUGAGGCCUGCCUGGGGCCCAGGAGAAAGGAAGGGUGCACACAUGCAGUGUGCCCUGGCCCCAGCUCUAGACAGUCGGUCCCAACUCUGAGGCUGAACCCUCCACAGAUCUCAAAAUACUAGCAGAAUUGUGCAAACAAUUCUAUCCCUAAAACUAAUUAAAAUCUGUUUAUUAAACAAGGUGCACAUGCACCCUGCAGGGAGAGGAAGAGGUAGGAUGGUGUCAGGUGCUAAAAAUAUCCUACACACCCUCCUAAUGCUCCACAAUUUUCCAAAGGGUGGAUCCAUUGAGCUGAUUAGAGACAGGAAGGGGGGUGGGGGUGGCCAGUGUGUAUGUUCCAUUUCUAGAAUUCUAGAUGCCGGUUUCCUUGUUUGGGGGGGAAAAAGUGUUUAAAAUAGAUAAAUCAUAAGGAAAAAGGAAAGUUGUUGAAUUUAUGUUGCCAAGGUUACAACUCUCAUAGUAGUGCUUUGGUGUGGAGAUGCUCCUUGUGCCUUGUGGAGCCUGUUUGAAGUUUUUGCCAUCACCAUCAUCAUCAUCACCAUCACUGUAAUCAUCACCAUCAUCACACGACCACCAUAACCGUC
Equus quagga is the source of this 1907-nucleotide long non-coding RNA. RefSeq lists it as uncharacterized. The record is from RefSeq and is a predicted model, not a curated record. The transcript is spliced from 3 exons. Lineage: Eukaryota; Metazoa; Chordata; Mammalia; Perissodactyla; Equidae.